GACGAACGCUGGCGGCGUGCUUAACACAUGCAAGUCGAACGCUGAAGCUUGGUGCUUGCACUGGGUGGAUGAGUGGCGAACGGGUGAGUAAUACGUGAGUAACCUGCCCUUGACUCUGGGAUAAGCCUGGGAAACUGGGUCUAAUACUGGAUACGACAUGCCACUGCAUGGUGGUGUGUGGAAAGGGUUUUACUGGUUUUGGAUGGGCUCACGGCCUAUCAGCUUGUUGGUGGGGUAAUGGCCUACCAAGGCGACGACGGGUAGCCGGCCUGAGAGGGUGACCGGCCCCCCGGGGCCCUGACGCCGGCCCCGGACCCACCGGGGGGCCACGGGGGGGGAUUUUCACACAGGGGCGGAACCCGGGUGCAAGCGCCCCGGGGGGGGGUAGCCGGCCUUUGGGUUGGUACCCCCUUUCCGGCGGGAAAAAGGGGGGGGGCCGGUGCCGGCCAGAAGACCCCCCGCUAACUUCCGC
This 472-nucleotide ribosomal RNA is filed under the name uncultured bacterium. Its description in RNAcentral is "partial 16S ribosomal RNA". It matches the Rfam family "Bacterial small subunit ribosomal RNA", at positions 28 to 508 of the family's 1533-position model. The record is from RNAcentral.